AGUCGAAACCGGGCUUCGGCCCGGUCUGCCGGGAUGAUUGGCCACCCGGUACUGAUGAGACAGGCCAGA
This 69-nucleotide non-coding RNA is filed under the name Chitinivibrionales bacterium. Lineage: Bacteria; Pseudomonadati; Fibrobacterota; Chitinivibrionia; Chitinivibrionales. The record is from RNAcentral.